Long non-coding RNA from Acanthopagrus latus (yellowfin seabream), 1281 nucleotides. RefSeq lists it as uncharacterized. Lineage: Eukaryota; Metazoa; Chordata; Actinopteri; Spariformes; Sparidae. The transcript is spliced from 5 exons. The record is from RefSeq and is a predicted model, not a curated record.
CCUCACUCUAAAAGCAUGAACCAACAUACGCACCCACACACACACACACACACACACCUUACCAAUCAAGUCUGCAUGCCACAUGUCUCCUUCUCCAGUCCCAAGCCACCAGUCACAGCAUUGUCUGCUGCAUCCUCUGGGAAACAGGUUACACCAGAUGAUACAUCAGAGAGUAAGGAAGUCUGCGACCUAGCUAGUGACUGAUGGAUGGUUGGAGGUUACACUGCGAGGACCCAAAGGCAUCUUCAGUAUCUCCUCACAGCCUAGCAAGAGGAGGGCAUGACGGAAGGAAAAAGGAAGAAAAGAAAGACAGAAAAUUAUUGUGUUUCAAGGUCCGCGGAUUUAGACAGAGGGCAGCAAAUUGGCGGACCAAAACAGACCCUAAGUGGUUCAAGUCCAGCUACAGACCACAAUAUGGAAAGUGGAAUGCCAUUUUUCCUGUUCACCUGUGUUUCAUUCUCUUAACUAGCACCAGCUUAUUUAAGUUGGUGUUUAUCCUCUGUCCUUGUUGGUUAGUCUGCCUUUUCACAUCCGUCCUACAACCCAAGUGUUUUGUGCCUCAUUUCUUACCUGCAAUUGCUGCCUGUGCUCUUUGCAUCAUCCGGAUUUAUACAUUUUUGUUUGUUGAGUUUUUGCUCCAGUUGUUGCCUGCCUUUGUGUGCAUCAGUUGUUUUUUUCAACCUGCCUGCCUUGCUGUCUUGUGUUUGGGUCCUGCGUAACUGUAACCCUCAGGCUUUAACUGUACCAUAAAAUUGUUGAGAGAAUUGUUGCAUCACAAGGUCAAGAAUGAACUUUCACAUUCAUCUAGUUGCUAGUCUUACUCCCAAUGUCCUUUCAUUUGUCAUAAAGGUGAAUAGCAUGAUGUUAUAUAUUCAGAUACAGUGGAUGGCAGUGUGUUUUUUAGCCCGCUGGUAAAACAAAUGAAGAAGAGGAGAAUGACUAUUUAACGCAGUUGGCCGAUAUGGAAGAAGACGAGUGUCCUCAUCAACGAGACCAAUCCCCCCAAAGAGCACCGGACCUUGAAGCCAGCUUUUGUCGUGGCCAAGCCAUGUAAUUACAUCAUCAUGUGAUGCACUGGGGACUGUUUCUUCAAAGCUAACAUUGUGAAAGGCGUCUGUAAACUCGUAAUAAAAGCCUCAAAACCCCUGCGAAAUGACAAAAUAAAAUUUGGAGAAUCUAGAAGUGCCGCACGAUUACAUGUUAUCUCCAUCCAAGUUAGCCAGGCACUAAACCUGAAAUUCGGCGCAAGUCUCGAAUGCACAUGCUCUAUGGCUCCCCAGC